GGCCGGGUCUUGCGCAAUGGAUGCCAGUGAACCGUGUCAGAUGGGGAACCAAGCAGCACUAAGCAGGAUUUUCCAUGUGCCGCAAGGGUGCCUGGCCGGA
Molecule: signal recognition particle RNA, 100 nt
Filed under: Lachnospiraceae bacterium
Lineage: Bacteria; Bacillati; Bacillota; Clostridia; Lachnospirales; Lachnospiraceae
Description: signal recognition particle sRNA small type
Rfam family: Bacterial small signal recognition particle RNA
About the family: The signal recognition particle (SRP) is a universally conserved ribonucleoprotein involved in the co-translational targeting of proteins to membranes.
Source: RNAcentral